Molecule: long non-coding RNA, 7189 nt
Filed under: Vigna radiata
Lineage: Eukaryota; Viridiplantae; Streptophyta; Magnoliopsida; Fabales; Fabaceae
Description: long non-coding RNA (VRAD_LNC010864)
Source: RNAcentral
AGAAAGAAAAUACGAGGAUGCUAAAAAAAAAUUGUCGAAAUGCUUGUUUUCUUUUUUUUUUGGGUGUGGUUCGUGGGUUUGGGCUGGAGCAAAAAUAAAUGCAUGAACAUUUCAAUUCGUUCUUUCCGUUAAACUUUCCACCGUAACUUUCCAAUCCACAAAAAAAUAGGUAGAACCUGGGUCAGUUCCCUGAAAUAUUGUCGCCGGCGUCGAUGUCGCUGAAAUCGCGUGGGCUUCUCUAGGAACCGCAGACAACGUCGUUUUGGCACGACUUGAGCCCGUUUUGGUCAACUCACAGCUUCGUCGCAAGUUUGUUGGGCAGCUCUCUGCCGCCACGAUUUCUCCGUUGUCCGGACAUCUUUAAUCGUGGCAACCUGUGCAGAGCCCUUCCGAACGAGCAGCUUCUAAGCGUGGGUUUUAACAACCCCUACUUAGCAAUAUUUCGGUGCCGCCGUUCCCUCGACACUCUCCGCCAAACUCAUCGCUGCAGAAGGAGACUGGUAAGAAGGAGAGGACAAAACCGUCUUUUAAUCAAGUAUAUGGGGUGCAGGAAGAAGAAAUGGAAUUGCAGGAAAAAACAUCGGAAUGCAUGAGUUUGAGGAUGCAACUCAGUCCAGUGCAAGAUAAAAGAAAAAAAAAAUACGGACAUUACCUUUAACUCAAUUGUCACCCAACCCAACUAACUUCUUCUCAUCUCCUCAAGCAAAAACCAGAGAAUGAGGAGAAAAUAAGAGAAAUUAAGACUGUUACACCCUCUUAUUAUCUAAUCAAACUUCAAUAGUUUAUUUUCAUACCCAUACAACAGCACCAUUCUAAUAAAUCAAGCGUAGUUGUUCAAAUGUUCUAAUGGACUCAUUAUGACUAGUUCCUGCCAACAAUAUUUUAUUUGGUAGACAGUUAGAAAUUUUUGGUAUAUGUUACCUGUGCUAUUCAUGCGAUUAAAUGGCGUCUUAGUCAUUUACCUACCGUUUGCAUUUGAAUUUCUUUGUCCAAAUAUUUAAGAUCAUAUUUCUUUUGGUAUCAUAUAGAAAAUCUUGUAUAUUGUUCGAGGAUCCUGUCUCUCACGCGUGUUUUUCAGGUAUUAUCUACAAUGGUUCAAGCCUGGAAGCUAUUUUAGCAGGAUUUACUGUGGAUAAAGUUAAUCCAACAAUGAUUCACGCAAGAAAGGUACAUAUAUCAGUGUCUGAUUGUAUUUUAAUUACAGGACUUUAUUGAUGAUGGUGACCAUUAUAACAAUGAAAGACUGGUUUAAAUCUAGUCAACGUACUAUUAUCACAAUGUCUGCUCACAUUUCAGUUUAUAAAUUGCUAGAAUUUUAUAGAAACUGAUUUUAUGAUGAACCGCUGAUAGAAAACUAUCCAAAUUCCCUUCUAGGAGGUAUUGGAAUGCUUAAACUGAAAUAGGAUUUUGAAACGAGAGAUUUGCGUAGUUUGUGUCAAUUAUUAGAUUCUUUUUAGAUCUCAUUUCCACCUUCCAAGCCUUCUUCAGUGGAAAAAAAUAUAAUAAACCACUAGAAUACGUUUAACGCUAACUUUUUUUAUAACUUAUACGAGAUCUUAGAUUAAAACAAACAUAAAAGUUAUGUAUAUAUAAUGUUCAGAACAGAGGAAUUUGGCUCAGUAAGCCAGUGGAACGUUUUGACGAUGAAAUUUGCUUACUGGUAAUGUUCACUUUCGAAACUCACUAACUGACUGGUUUUUCCAUAGUACGAGUGCAUAAGAGAUUGGAGUUUAUCACUCACUGCAACAUUUAUUUUCUUAUGCCACGAUUCUAGGGCUGCUUCAAACAUUGAAUGUAUUGAAGACUAGUUACAGAAUCUAGGGCAAGUGCUGGUGUAAAUCUAAAAUGUUGGGCACCACAUACAAAGAGUUGCUGCAAAAUUGAUAUUUAUUAUUUAUAACUGAUUUAAAAAAUACAUAUAGGAGCCUCUUAAGUGAAAUCGAAACGUUCUACAAUAUGACAAUUGUAUGGAGCUCUGACCUGAUAAAAUCUAUUUUGACUGUAGAAUAUGCAUUGGAGAAGAAACAAAAUGAUGCAUUCACUGAACUUCCCGUUUAAAAUUUUAUUUAUGCUUCAUAUGAAGUAGGAUGAGGAUGCCACGAACCUUUGCAGCCCAUUUCUGUAUACCGCCGGUAAACCAGCGAGUACAAUUUCUUAACCCCACCCCCACCAUGCAUUUUGGAGUUUUGAGUGUUUGAUGUUCAGUCUCACGGAGGGCUGUCUUUGCACCACCAUUGCAAUUGAAAUGGCCCCAAUGAAUCCAAUCCUGGGAAGGUGGUUAUCGAAAAUCAUUCAUUUACUUUGCCUGUUAUUCUGAAAGACUGGUUUCUUUCGUAUUCACACACUAGGGGGAUGAACUUUCCUCGUCUGAGCUUCUAUCCUGCUUUGGAUGGCUGUACCUAUUGAGAACAGGUAAUGAUACAUUUGGAGGUAUUCGGAAAGAUCUGCCAGAACCACCAACAAUUUUAUCAUGCAUUUUUUCCACUUCUUUGCACACUAGAUCCAAAAUACUCAGAAAGUCUCUUACAAUCAUGAAAAUUCUGAGAGGGUGGGCUUCUUCCUUUGCUGCAUUCCCAUGAAAGUAUUCCGUGACUUCUUUUACAAGAUACAAAGCUUUUCUCUCAUCCGCUUUAAUCCUUACAAUUUCAUCUUCAGCAUAUUUCAGAAAUAGCUUCGUAGAAUUAAAGAAAUUGCCAAGCACAUCUGGCUUUUCAUAUUGCAAAACCAAUCGCACUUUAUCAAGCCCUGUUUCAAGCUUUGAAAGAUAGCUGCUCAAGACAUCUGAAUCCAUUCCAGCUGCUUUUUUUACAUUACUAAGAUCUCUACUAAGCCCUGCCACAACCUGCAAUCCUUGCUUCUUAAACUCAUCCUCAUUAAAUUUGGAAUCCAUUUUCACAUUCUCAUUUGCAGAUUCAGCUCCUGCACCUUCAGAUCUAAUGAUCUCUUGAACCACAAAGUGGAGCAAUGUGGUUUUUCCAUCUAUUCCCUUUAUAUCUACUAGUUUCAAGAGUGUCUCCAGUUUGAAAGCUUUAGCAUCCCCUCUAUUAGUGCCAACAUUCAUUCUGUUUCCCGUCCUUAGAACAGCUUCAAGGAGUUUGAGGAAUAAGCGGCUGUUCUUUAAUUCACCACUUGCAGCCUGAAAUAUACUAACAACUGAAUGAUCACUUUCCUGUAAGAGAUCAAGAAAUCAAAGAUAACAAGGAAUUUGUGCAAAAAAAACAAAGAUAAUAAGGGGUAGAAACUAGACCUCCAUGGUUUGAAAAGACUUUCUAAGGUAGUUAAUUUCUGCAUCAAAGUUGGCUCUGUAGAGCAUAGCUUCAACUCUUUUAAAGGCAAAAGGGAUAUCAAGCACUGCUUUAAGAAACCUUUCUGCAGAUCCCAGUUUUGAGAGAUCACCGUCGUAGUUUUUAAGCUUUAUCUCUUCUUCUUUAGUCGGAGCCAUCUUUACUAGUGUUUCCAAUAGUUCAGUGCCCAAACCUUCAGGAUUCCCUGUUUCAUCGAAAGAAAUACUGCCAAUUAGCAAAGUGAAAAUACAUCCUUUGCUGUUCUCAAAGUGAAAAUACAGGAUGCAGAUAAGGAAUUGCUUUUAAAAACAAACAAUAGGCAUGUGAAGGAAAAUUUCUUUCAGUAGCCUUCUCUUCCUCUACUUCUUUUCAAAUGGCUAUAUCCCAUGCAAUUUACUUACACAUAGUUGCCUGUUAUAGCCUUCUCUGCCUGUAUCCAAAUCACCUUAUUUUCUAGUUUCUAUCAAUAUUUUCUAGAUAGGUAUCACACCAAUAUCUCUUCGAUAUACAAUAAUUAUGUAUUCUUUAUUCUCUCCUGUAGUCAUACAUACAUCCAUCUUAAUAUACUAUGCUAAUCCCAUUUUUUUCUCUUGCACCUUCAAAGCCUAACAUUUACCAACACCAUAGGUACGGUCAGAUCAUAUAGUAGUAUGACAACUUUUGAUCAUGUACUUUAGAAUAAAAAAUAAUUCCUUAUAUGUUUCUACAUUUUAAUCACCCAACUUGUAACCAUAUUCUAUAUUACUCUAUCAUUAUGUAAUAUUGAUCCCCAUGUAAUUACACAAAGAAACUUGUGGUAUUACACAUUUUUCAUUUUCUCUCCUUAAGCAAAAAAACUCUGAUUUCAAUCUGUCUCCAAAAUUCAAGUUUAUUUUUUUUUCUUGAUUACUCGAUCAAGAGAAUGUCAUCCUUAAAAUGCAUGCACUUGAACAAAGCCUUCUAUAUAUUAAACAAGGAUUUAAUAUUGAUUCAUGAUGUAAACCUAUCGAUAUAGGAAAGUCCUCAGUUUUGCCUUCACGGGUUUUCAUGCUAGUAAUUAACCCCUAUCAUAUGUCUGCUUUUACAAGGAUAAAAAGCCUUACGUCCGUCUUUUUCUUUACUUCGGUACUUUUUAUCAACCCCCACAGAAGAUUAGCACUAAUAAGAAAUAAGAAUAGCUUUACUUAAAUUUGAGUGUAGAAUACAAUGGCAGGCUUUUCUAUAGAACACGUUCAAAUUACUAGUGCUAUUUAAGGUGGAUGUACAAAAGUAAGGCAGACCCUCCUUUAACAAUAAGAAUGAAUAGACAGUAAACCUGCAUGACGUUUGAAUCUUUGACAGCAAUAUACUUUAAACCGUUUCUAGGAAAAACUGCUGACAGGCAGUGGUUAUAAGGAAAUUAGAACCGAGAGUUACCUUCUAAAGAAAAAGAUAAACACUGACACAAAGGCAAAGAUUAAAGAAGAAAUGUUGUAAUCCCACAAGGAAGAAUAAUCCAUCUUUUGGAUUGGAUGGAGAACUGGAAGCAAGAAUGGUGAUUAAAAAGAAAUGUGGUAUACUAAGAAAGAAGAAUAAUCCAUCUUUUGGAUUAGAGCACAGAAAGCAAACAUGGUGUGUUGGUCUGGUUGUGCCAUGCGUGAAAUUCAGGUCUUUGUAAAACAAGGUCGAGGCUCUGUUUAGUGACAGUUAGAGCCCAAAACUGCACAUCUUGGAAGUUUUGGAAUUGUAACAGUGAUAAGGUAAUUGACUACAGUGACCAUGUCAGUGUUGAGUUUAAUGACAAUAAUUCCAAUAGAAAUAGAAGAAUAGUUUGUGAAUAAAAGAUCUUUCUGAGUUUGGAGUUGAGGAUGAAGUGGGUGUGAUCCCACCUUGGUGGAUGUUCAAUUAUUCUUCUAUACUUCUAGAAGAUGUUUUAUGUCCAAGAGUAUUAUAAUUUAUGACUUGGAUUGUAUCUAUAUCGCACUUUUAAGAUCACAGUUACUGAAUACCUAAUUUCAUAGCUUAACAUAAUAAUGCACAUGGCAUGAUGCUGCUUGGACAUUCUCAUACUUAAUUUCAGAUGCUAUGAUGGUGACUUCAAGAUGAAGUCCUUGUACUAUGCACUCUGUCUUCUUGUAUGAUUUAUUCUCUCUACAUCGCUGGCAUAAACAGUGAUGGAACUUUAUGCCCCUCACUCCUUGUUUCCCCACACAAUAUAUAGAAUCGAAUAUAUUAACAUAUCUUAGAAGCAUUGUUUUGGUAGGUGAUAUUGACAACCUAAUUAAGGGAAUACUGCAGAUGAACUCAGUAGUCAACACUGUAGCUUAGGGCCCCCAAAAAUGUCUAACAGUAAGAUGAACCAAUCACCCUUUUAGUAUAAUUUACCCAAAUUAGAAAUCUGUGCUCAAGUAUCAAGUCUAAUUUGAUCCCCUAAUUAGGAAGAAUGAGAAAAGCAAGUUACCAUCUAAAAGAGCUUCAGACACCUCCUCUCUGGUCACAUUCAAAGCCCUGAGCAGUAUAGCUAUGUUCUGUGACUUCUUCGGGUCUAACACCCUGUUCUCCUGAUCAACAGAAGGAAGAACUGAUUUUCUGGGAGGUUCUUUCGGAGCAGAAUUCGUGGCUUUGCAUCCAAACAACGAUUCCAUCAUGUCCUCAUUUAACCUAUUUAAAGAAAAACGCCAUAUCAUGGAAAAAAGAAACAUUAGCUUCCAGUUAUACUAAUAUCCGAAUACUGUUAGUUAACUAAUUGAACUCACUGAAACGAGCUUGAUUUUAUCUGGUCCCACACUGUAGCACGGUCUGAGGUUGCACGCACUUUAUCCCAAUGCAGAGCCUUUAAUUUUGGUUUGGCUCCAUCCCUGUCAUUGGCUUCAAGCCUCUCGGAAGAGCUCACACUCUGUUCAACCUCUUCUGAACCUUUCGUUACACUGCCUUCAAUUGGUGAUAAAGACUGCCUCUUUACAGAUGCAGAAUUAGAGGAGACACUAACAGCCGGAGACUCUGAUUUUCGCGGCGGCGGUGGAGGAGGCGGAGGUGGAGGCGGUGGUGGAGGUGGUGGAGGAGGAUUGAAUAAACUAUUUGACACGUGCGAAACAGUGUCGGUUGUUGACUGAAGAUGCUUCAAAUUCGGAGGUGGGGGAGGCGCCGAAAAUUUCGGCUUUCUGGAAUGCUUAGGGGGCGGCGGCGACGGUGGAGGGGGCUGCUUUAUAGACGGAAUGAUGACACGGCGUAUCUCCGGCGAGGGUGCCGAAACCCGUGACUUGGGGGAAGUUCUCUUGGAAAACGGAACAACGGGUGUGGGCGUGGAAUUCAUGUCACGCUUCGCGGGACUUCCGUUGACAAGAGAGCUCUGCCGCGAAGCCGGCGUGUAGUAUCCAUCGACCGACGAGUUCUGCGGUGAGUGAAACACCGUGCCGCGGCUUUCCUCAUCGGACUCCGAUGAGGAGGAGACCGCCGGCGGGUAGUUACCGUCGGGAGGCUUACUGAGCGGCGGCAUUGGCUGCAAUUCAGGACUUGGACGGUAGCGAUCGGAUCGCUUAAGCUUGUGAUACGGCGAUCUGUUGGCCUUAUUAACAUCUCUGUUGUCUCGCGAGUCGUUGGUAGAGGCUCGCGUGGGUUCCACUGUCCCAAUGUAGAGGAAACUCGACGGUGGCGCAGUUGAAUCAACCUCGUUUCUGUUUGAGAUAUGGCUAUUGUUAUUGUUAUUCCCACUCCCAGCGACCAGUUUCUGAGACUCCACCGGGUGUUUGGCUCUGUGUUUGUACAAAAAGAAGGCCAACGCUGAUAGCAUUCCAAGGGUCACAAUCCCCACUGAGAUCGCGAUUGCUACCUUCUUUGUUCCCUUUGUGGGUUGUGUUGCAGUUGGGUUUGCAAUUGAAGUGUUGGAACUGGACGGGGCUGCUUGGCUCUGAUCCGGUGGGGGCCCCGCCGGGUACUCGUGGAAGAAG